UGGGGAAUUUUGGACAAUGGGCGAAAGCCUGAUCCAGCAACGCCGCGUGUGUGAAGAAGGCCUUCGGGUUGUAAAGCACUUUUGUCCGGAAAGAAAUCCUUGGCUCUAAUACAGUCGGGGGAUGACGGUACCGGAAGAAUAAGCACCGGCUAACUACGUGCCAGCAGCCGCGGUAAUACGUAGGGUGCAAGCGUUAAUCGGAAUUACUGGGCGUAAAGCGUGCGCAGGCGGUUUGCUAAGACCGAUGUGAAAUCCCCGGGCUCAACCUGGGAACUGCAUUGGUGACUGGCAGGCUAGAGUAUGGCAGAGGGGGGUAGAAUUCCACGUGUAGCAGUGAAAUGCGUAGAGAUGUGGAGGAAUACCGAUGGCGAAGGCAGCCCCCUGGGCCAAUACUGACGCUCAUGCACGAAAGCGUGGGGAGCAAACAGGAUUAGAUACCCUGGUAGUCCACGCCCUAAACGAUGUCAACUAGUUGUUGGGGAUUCAUUUCCUUAGUAACGUAGCUAACGCGUGAAGUUGACCGCCUGGGGGAGUACGGUCGCAAGAUUAAAACUUAAAUGAAUUGACGGGGUCAUAGCUG
This 580-nucleotide ribosomal RNA is filed under the name uncultured bacterium. RNAcentral's name for it is "partial 16S ribosomal RNA". It matches the Rfam family "Bacterial small subunit ribosomal RNA", at positions 355 to 932 of the family's 1533-position model. The record is from RNAcentral.